GAACCUGCCCCAGACUCUGGGAUAAGCGCUGGAAACGGCGUCUAAUACCGGAUACGCACCAGGAAGGCAUCUUCUCUGGUGGGAAAGAUUUUUUGGUCUGGGAUGGGCUCGCGGCCUAUCAGCUUGUUGGUGAGGUAAUGGCUCACCAAGGCGUCGACGGGUAGCCGGCCUGAGAGGGUGACCGGCCACACUGGGACUGAGACACGGCCCAAACUCCUACGGGAGGCAGCAGUGGGGAAUAUUGCACAAUGGGCGGAAGCCUGAUGCAGCAACGCCGCGUGAGGGAUGACGGCCUUCGGGUUGUAAACCUCUUUUAGCAGGGAAGAAGCGAGAGUGACGGUACCUGCAGAAAAAGCGCCGGCUAACUACGUGCCAGCAGCCGCGGUAAUACGUAGGGCGCAAGCGUUAUCCGGAAUUAUUGGGCGUAAAGAGCUCGUAGGCGGUCUGUCGCGUCUGCUGUGAAAACCCGAGGCUCAACCUCGGGCCUGCAGUGGGUACGGGCAGACUAGAGUGCGGUAGGGGAGAUUGGAAUUCCUGGUGUAGCGGUGGAAUGCGCAGAUAUCANGAGGAACACCGAUGGGCGAACGCAGAUCUCUGGGCCGUAACUGACGCUGAGGAGCGAAAGGUUGGGGAGCAAACAGGCUUAGAUACCCUGGUAGCCCACCCCCGAAACGUUGGGAACUAGUUUGUGGGGGGCCUCUCCACCGUCUCCGGGGACGCACUAAGGAUUAGCUCCCCCGCCUGGGGAGUAGGGGCCGCAAGGCUUAAACUCCAAGGGAU
Molecule: ribosomal RNA, 780 nt
Filed under: Microbacterium sp. T-35
Lineage: Bacteria; Bacillati; Actinomycetota; Actinomycetes; Micrococcales; Microbacteriaceae
Description: bacterial SSU rRNA
Rfam family: Bacterial small subunit ribosomal RNA
Source: RNAcentral